This is a long non-coding RNA of Cajanus cajan (pigeon pea), 555 nucleotides long. RefSeq lists it as uncharacterized. The record is from RefSeq and is a predicted model, not a curated record. NCBI's taxonomy places the organism in Eukaryota, Viridiplantae, Streptophyta, Magnoliopsida, Fabales, Fabaceae.
AGUUUGUUGAAGAAUCAACUCUUUCCAUAAUUUCUAAAUCCUACUUGAAUGUUGCCUCUAUGUCAGGACAACUAUAUUGGUCUUCUGAAACUUGCUGUUCCAAUUAGAGUAAUCAUCAAGAUAAAUGUUCUCAAACAACAUCUCCAUAUUUAUCUAAAUGUCUAGUUGUAGCUUCUGAAUACAUAUGUAUUUGGAGACUACUACUAGACAUUUGAAUGAAUAUGGUGAUACUUUUUUGAGAACAUUUGUCUAAAGUAACUAGAUCAGUGAAAGAAGGAAUUGGAAGGACCACUUUUGCCAUAGGUGAUGGUACAAAUGUUUAGAAAUUAUAUUAUACUCAAAUGCAAUCGACUAAGGAGAACCAAGAGGAGGAGACUAGCAAGAUGCUGUUCUAGUUUCAUCUCCUGCUUAUCAAGGUGAUCAUCAACAUGAGACUGAGGAUGUUGGUGAUGAAGCUUAGGCUUUAAUGUUGGGCCUUGCUCUGGUAGGACAUGUGACAUCGAGACAUAGAUAGGAUUAGAUUAGGAUGUUGUUCUUAUUAAAUUAUUUUGAAAA